UACGUAGGAGGCAAGCGUUGUCCGGAAUCGUUGGGCGUAAAGCGCGUGUAGGCGGCCCGAUAAGUCCGCUGUGAAAGUCCAGGGCUCAACCCUGGAAUGCCGGUGGAUACUGUCGGGCUCGAGUCCGGAAGAGGCGAGUGGAAUUCCUGGUGUAGCGGUGAAAUGCGCAGAUAUCAGGAGGAACACCGAUGGCGAAGGCAGCUCGCUGGGACGGUACUGACGCUGAGACGCGAAAGCGUGGGGAGCAAACAGG
RNAcentral lists this ribosomal RNA (253 nucleotides) under uncultured bacterium. RNAcentral describes it as "partial 16S ribosomal RNA". It matches the Rfam family "Bacterial small subunit ribosomal RNA", at positions 524 to 776 of the family's 1533-position model. The record is from RNAcentral.